CCUACGGGAGGCAGCAGUGGGGAAUAUUGGGCAAUGGGCGCAAGCCUGACCCAGCAACGCCGCGUGAAGGAAGAAGGCUUUCGGGUUGUAAACUUCUUUUAAGGGGGAAGAGCAGAAGACGGUACCCCUUGAAUAAGCCACGGCUAACUACGUGCCAGCAGCCGCGGUAAUACGUAGGUGGCGAGCGUUGUCCGGAUUUACUGGGUGUAAAGGGCGUGCAGCCGGAGAGACAAGUAAGAGGUGAAAUCCACGGGCUCAACCCGUGAACUGCAUUUGAAACUGUUUCCCUUGAGUGUCGGAGAGGUAAUCGGAAUUCCUUGUGUAGCGGUGAAAUGCGUAGAUAUAAGGAAGAACACCAGUGGCGAAGGCGGAUUACUGGACGAUAACUGACGGUGAGGCGCGAAAGCGUGGGGAGCAAACAGGAUUAGAUACCCCGGUAGUC
RNAcentral lists this ribosomal RNA (442 nucleotides) under uncultured bacterium. Its description in RNAcentral is "partial 16S ribosomal RNA". It matches the Rfam family "Bacterial small subunit ribosomal RNA", at positions 338 to 795 of the family's 1533-position model. The record is from RNAcentral.